Long non-coding RNA from Ictalurus punctatus (channel catfish), 1103 nucleotides. The record is from Ensembl. NCBI's taxonomy places the organism in Eukaryota, Metazoa, Chordata, Actinopteri, Siluriformes, Ictaluridae.
GCAUUUCCAAAUUGUCAUAGUGUGUGAAUGUGUGUGUGAUUGUGCCCCAUAUUGUACAUUGCAGUUUAUAGGGAAUAAGGAGUGGGAGUGUGUGUGUGUGUAAUAUAGACUACUGUAAGGUACAUUGCAGUCAUGGACCAUGUUAUAGAUCUGUGCACAUUAGCCUCCUGCUCUAUUUUGGUCAUCAGUAAGUAGAAACACGGCUCAUAAAGACACACAUACACAUGCUCUCAUAUAUAUGCAGUACUUCCUGCAUACACACACUCUCCAUGUCAUGUCCAGGUCAACCCAAGGUCAAUUCCACUUUUUCACAGCUGGACAGUUUUCCUUUAUUUUUUUCCAAAUGAAAUUCUAAUUGUAUAUUGCUUAUUCUAUGUUUAAAGUAUAUUAUGUUGGUUAAAAGCCUGAAGUGUGGAGAGGGUCCCAGUUAUUCUCAGUGAGCAGCAAGCUGAAUCUGUAGCUUUGGCAUGUCAAAGUCUUUCGAUUUUUUUUUUUUAGAUUCAGACACAAGACUCCAUCCUACUGCAGCAUUCUGAACGGAUGCGAGAGAGUAACAGAGAGCGAGCGGAAGCACCCCUCUCCUCUCCUCGCAGCCCCAUCAGCUGCUGACAGGCAGAGCAAAGAGACUCUUACACAAUCGGAGAUCGGAAACAACUUGUUACAACCUUGGUCCCAGUAUGAGAAACUCCGCACAGACCGUAACCUGAGCUGAGGAUCGAACUGGGAGCUGUGAGGCAGCAACUCUACCCACUGCUGUGCCACCGGGAACAUUCAUGAAGAUUGAGUUUCUUUUUUCUUGUUUAUUUUCUUAUUUAUUAACAUAGCUUAAGGCUGAGUCUUGCUAAAGCCACAGCAUGCUGACUUAGUUUCGCAAUUCCCUCAUUUUACACACACGCACACGCAACGCAAACGCACACACACACACACACACACACACACACACACACACACACACACACACACUAUUGCCAUCAGGGUCACCUAUGCAGGUAUGUUCAUGCUGCACUGGUUUCACUGUGUAUAAGGCCUAGGGGUAUAGUGCAUACAAACUUACUGGCUUAGUGUGUCCUGACUGAUCCAGUCAAUCAAACAAUCAACUGAAU